Molecule: ribosomal RNA, 477 nt
Filed under: uncultured Exiguobacterium sp.
Lineage: Bacteria; Bacillati; Bacillota; Bacilli; Caryophanales
Description: bacterial SSU rRNA
Rfam family: Bacterial small subunit ribosomal RNA
Source: RNAcentral
UACCAACUCUUGACAUCCCAUUGACCGCUUGAGAGAUCAAGUUUUCCCUUCGGGGACAAUGGUGACAGGUGGUGCAUGGUUGUCGUCAGCUCGUGUCGUGAGAUGUUGGGUUAAGUCCCGCAACGAGCGCAACCCCUAUCCUUAGUUGCCAGCAUUGAGUUGGGCACUCUAGGGAGACUGCCGGUGACAAACCGGAGGAAGGUGGGGAUGACGUCAAAUCAUCAUGCCCCUUAUGAGUUGGGCUACACACGUGCUACAAUGGACGGUACAAAGGGCAGCGAGACCGCGAGGUGGAGCCAAUCCCAUAAAGCCGUUCCCAGUUCGGAUUGCAGGCUGCAACUCGCCUGCAUGAAGUCGGAAUCGCUAGUAAUCGCAGGUCAGCAUACUGCGGUGAAUACGUUCCCGGGUCUUGUACACACCGCCCGUCACACCACGAGAGUUUGCAACACCCGAAGCCGGUGAGUAACNAUAAGGAGC